GCCUAAUACAUGCAAGUCGGACGGGAUUCAGGGAGUAGCUUGCUACGAACUGAUGAGAGUGGCGCACGGGUGCGUAACGCGUGAGCAACCUACCCAUAUCAGGGGGAUAGCCUCUCGAAAGAGAGAUUAACACCGCAUAACAUUGAAGAACGGCAUCGUUUUUCAAUCAAAUAUUUAUAGGAUAUGGAUGGGCUCGCGUGACAUUAGCUAGUUGGAGAGGUAACGGCUCACCAAGGCUACGAUGUCUAGGGGCUCUGAGAGGAGAAUCCCCCACACUGGUACUGAGACACGGACCAGACUCCUACGGGAGGCAGCAGUAAGGAAUAUUGGUCAAUGGAGGCAACUCUGAACCAGCCAUGCCGCGUGCAGGAUGACUGCCCUAUGGGUUGUAAACUGCUUUUGUCAGGGAAUAAACCUUUCCACGUGUGGAGAGCUGAAUGUACCUGAAGAAUAAGGAUCGGCUAACUCCGUGCCAGCAGCCGCGGUAAUACGGAGGAUCCAAGCGUUAUCCGGAUUUAUUGGGUUUAAAGGGUGCGUAGGCGGUCCUAUAAGUCAGUGGUGAAAGACGGCAGCUUAACUGUCGCAGUGCCUUUGAUACUGUAGGACUUGAAUCUAUUUGAAGUGGGCGGAAUAAGACAAGUAGCGGUGAAAUGCAUAGAUAUGUCUUAGAACUCCGAUUGCGAAGGCAGCUCACUAAGUUAGUAUUGACGCUGAUGCACGAAAGCGUGGGGAUCAAACAGGAUUAGAUACCCUGGUAGUCCACGCCCUAAACGAUGAUAACUCGAUGUUUGCGAUACACAGUAAGCGUCCAAGCGAAAGCGUUAAGUUAUCCACCUGG
Molecule: ribosomal RNA, 838 nt
Filed under: Sphingobacterium sp. WTPout_64
Lineage: Bacteria; Pseudomonadati; Bacteroidota; Sphingobacteriia; Sphingobacteriales; Sphingobacteriaceae
Description: bacterial SSU rRNA
Rfam family: Bacterial small subunit ribosomal RNA
Source: RNAcentral